RNAcentral lists this ribosomal RNA (406 nucleotides) under uncultured bacterium. Its description in RNAcentral is "partial 16S ribosomal RNA". It matches the Rfam family "Bacterial small subunit ribosomal RNA", at positions 30 to 526 of the family's 1533-position model. The record is from RNAcentral.
AUUGAACGCUGGCGGCAGGCCUAACACAUGCAAGUCGAACGAGUGGCGGACGGGUGAGUAAUGUCUGGGAAACUGCCUGACGGAGGGGGAUAACUACUGGAAACGGUAGCUAAUACCGCAUACCUUCCGAUGUGCCCAGAUGGGAUUGGCUAGUAGGUGGGGUAAAGGUUCAUCUAGGCGACGAUCCAUAGCUGGUCUGCGAGGAUGACCAGCCACACUGGAACUGAGACAAGGUCCAGAGUCCUACGGGAGGCAGCAGUGGGGAAUAGUGCACAAUGGGCGAAAGCCUGAUGCAGCCAUGCCGCGUGUAUGAAGAAGGCCUUCGGGUUGUAAAGUACUUUCAGCGGGGAGGCGUUACCCGCAGAAGAAGCACCGGCUAACUCCGUGCCAGCAGCCGCGGUAAUAC